AUCUAGAUUUCGGUGACCUGAAUCUUCUCUUCGGUCAUCUUCUUCUUGCUUUCCUUCAUAUUUCUUUAGAAAUUUAAGUUGUGACGAUGGCAACUGAUCCAUCUACUCUUUCCUCAACUGUGAUGAGUCUCAUUCUCAGAGGUGCCUCAGUCUCUGCGGAAAUUUCAUCUGGAAUGGCAAAUCUGGAAAUUUCAAAUGUUGAUCAAACAGUGACUACGCUCACACUAAAUCAGCCUCUGACUAAAACCAAUUACAUACUCUGGAGUAAGAGUGUGUUGAGGGCACUGUCUGUUAAGGGUAAGAAAGGCUUCAUUACUGGAGAUCUUCCAAUUCCUAAGGAUCCAGCAGCUGCAGAACAAUGGAAACGUGUAGAUGACCUGGUGCUGAACUGGUUGCUAAACUCCAUAUCUCCUCACUUACAUUCUGCUUUUGGAUUGUACAACACUAGUCUUGACUUGUGAGAAGCUUUGAGGAAUCUCUAUGGACAGUACAAUGCCCUACAAGCCUAUCGACUUAGGAAGGCCAUAUCCAACUUGCACCAAGGUAACAUGACUAUGGCUGCAUACUUUAAUAAAAUGCAGGAAUAUAAAGAUCAAUUGGCUUGUUUAUCUCUUGUGCCUGAAACUAAAAAGGAAAAUGCGGAGUACAUAGCUAAGAAUGAUGCUAUUGACUAUUUAAUGGAACUCAAUGAGGCUUUCGAUGCUAUUAGGAGCCAAAUCCUUAUGAUGGAUCCCUUGCCUCAUUUCAACAAAAUUUAUGGAAUGUUGUCUAGUGCUGAAAAACAGCAGGAAGCACAUGGGUUGCUAGCUAUGAAUGAUCCAUCUCCUGCUGUUUUGUUCAUUGCAGCAAAGGGUUCUAGUAAAAUCUAUGAUAGGGGUGUCAGUAAAGGUUUUGAUAAAAAGAAGAUGGACAAGAAGGGUCUUGUAUGUGAUUAUUGUAAAAGGACAGGGCACUUAAAGUAUGAAUGCUUCAAACUCCAUGGAACACCUAACUGGUUCAAGGCUUUACAGGAGAAAAUGAGGAAGGAAAACGGACCUUUUAACAUUGCAGAGAUGACUUUGUGUGCUAAUGACACUCCACACAGCUUUAAUUCAUCUUCUUUAACCAGUGCAGCCUUUAGUGAGCUGGUUCAGAAAGAAGUGCAAAGGGCCCUUGAAAUGAAGAAGUCUCUUAUUGAACAAGCAAACUUGUUUGAUUUCCAUUAUUCAGGUACAUUCUGUUUAAAUGUCACAAAUACAUCUAUUGGGAACAAAUGAUGGAUACUAGAUAGUGGGGCAACUUGUCAUGUUGCAAAUGACAAAAAUCUAUUUGAUAGUCUCUCCAAGCUUGACAGACCUGUCUAUAUAGCUUUGCCAAAUGGAUCAACACAAGUUGCCACACACUCGGGACCCUAAGGAAUGGAAGUUGGUGGGGAAAGGAGUCAAUAAGGGUCAUCUAUACCAUCUAAAGACGAAUUCUGAAUUCACCAUAUGUGCUGUGAAGGAGGUUCAACCUUGGCACCAGCGUUUAGGACAUCCUUCCCAGAGAAUUUUGCAGCAUUUACUUUCCGAUUCAAGUGAUUGCAAUAAUGAUGAUUUGAAUUGUGAUAUUUGCCAUAUGGCAAAGAUGAAACACUUGCCCUUUAAUGACAACUUAUCAAAUGCCAAAAACUGU
Molecule: RNA transcript, 1653 nt
Organism: Andrographis paniculata
Lineage: Eukaryota; Viridiplantae; Streptophyta; Magnoliopsida; Lamiales; Acanthaceae
Exons: 2
Source: RefSeq, a predicted model, not a curated record